UUUAUAUGCAAAAUCAAACAGGCAGAACAAAAUUUCAUGGGUAUAUGAAUUCUUUUAUUCAUACAUGGCUGCCAAAAGAACCCAGCUUUAUUGAUUAUUUCAAGACACACUACAGUUACAGACCAGAGGUCUGGGCAAUGGCAUAUAGAGAUUGCGAUCAUGGCGACACAGAGUCUGAGACAUAAACAUGGUUGUGGAAAAGUAAGUACUAUUUGACAUCACAGUAAAGCAAAACCAGAACUCUUUAUUUCAGAACCACUGUAUGUAUGUACUUGUAACAAUAGAAAUGAGGGU
Long non-coding RNA from Corticium candelabrum, 294 nucleotides. RefSeq lists it as uncharacterized. The transcript has 3 exons. The record is from RefSeq and is a predicted model, not a curated record. NCBI's taxonomy places the organism in Eukaryota, Metazoa, Porifera, Homoscleromorpha, Homosclerophorida, Plakinidae.